This is a small nucleolar RNA of Coregonus clupeaformis (lake whitefish), 73 nucleotides long. RefSeq annotates it as small nucleolar RNA SNORD50. The transcript has a single exon. The record is from RefSeq and is a predicted model, not a curated record. NCBI's taxonomy places the organism in Eukaryota, Metazoa, Chordata, Actinopteri, Salmoniformes, Salmonidae.
AGUAAAUUAUGAAUCUAUCCCGAACCUGAUUUAAUGUGAAUUAAACUCCUAAUAUGGAUCUGACUUCUGAUAU